This 492-nucleotide ribosomal RNA is filed under the name uncultured bacterium. Its description in RNAcentral is "partial 16S ribosomal RNA". It matches the Rfam family "Bacterial small subunit ribosomal RNA", at positions 29 to 507 of the family's 1533-position model. The record is from RNAcentral.
AGUGAACGCUGGCGGUAGGCCUAACACAUGCAAGUCGAACGGCAGCACAGUAAGAGCUUGCUCUUACGGGUGGCGAGUGGCGGACGGGUGAGGAAUACAUCGGAAUCUACUUUUUCGGGGGGGAUAACGUAGGGAAACUUACGCUAAUACCGCAUACGACCUACGGGGGAAAGCAGGGGAUCUUCGGACCUUGCGCGAUUGAAUGAGCCGAUGUCGGAUUAGCUAGUUGGCGGGGUAAAGGCCCACCAAGGCGACGAUCCGUAGCUGGUCUGAGAGGAUGAUCAGCCACACUGGAACUGAGACACGGUCAAGACUCCUACGGGAGGCAGCAGUGGGGAAUAUUGGACAAAGGGCGCAAGCCUGAUCCAGCCAUACCGCGUGGGUGAAGAAGGCCUUCGGGUUGUAAAGCCCUUUUGUUGGGAAAGAAAAGCAGCAGGUUAAUACCCCGCUGUUCUGACGGUACCCAAAGAAUAAGCACCGGCUAACUUCGUG